AAUUCUCAACCAAUGUCUUGAUUGAUGUUGGCUUGGAGUUGGGAGUUGCUGGCAAUCUCUUUUGUCAGCUCUCCUGAAAUGUAUUAGCAAUCGGAUAGCUAGUCUUUGAUGUGCACGGCCUUCGACGUGAUAAUGAUCGUCGUGGCUGGAGCGUCUUUGAACCGUGCAUGAAUAGCCUAUUGCUUAUAAUAACCAAAUUCAAAUUGGACUUGUAAAC
RNAcentral lists this unclassified non-coding RNA (217 nucleotides) under uncultured Boletus. RNAcentral's name for it is "sequence contains ITS2". The record is from RNAcentral. Lineage: Eukaryota; Fungi; Basidiomycota; Agaricomycetes; Boletales; Boletaceae.